UACAGAGGGGGCAAGCGUUGUUCGGAAUUACUGGGCGUAAAGGGCGCGUAGGCGGCCUGCUAAGUCGAACGUGAAAUCCCCGAGCUCAACUCGGGAACUGCGUCCGAUACUGGCAGGCUUGAAUCCGGGAGAGGGAUGCGGAAUUCCAGGUGUAGCGGUGAAAUGCGUAGAUAUCAGGAGGAACACCGGUGGCGAAGGCGGAUCUCUGGGCCUUACCUGACGCUCAGGUGCGAAAGCUAGGGGAGCGAACAGG
This 253-nucleotide ribosomal RNA is filed under the name uncultured bacterium. Its description in RNAcentral is "partial 16S ribosomal RNA". It matches the Rfam family "Bacterial small subunit ribosomal RNA", at positions 524 to 776 of the family's 1533-position model. The record is from RNAcentral.